CAAUAGCGUAUAUUAAAGUUGUUGCGGUUAAAAAGCUCGUAGUUGGAUUUCCGCCGAGGACGACCGGUCCGCCCUCUGGGUGUGUAUCUGGUUUGGCCUGGGCAUCUUCUUGGAGAACGUAGCUGCACUUGACUGUGUGGUGCGGUGUCCAGGACUUUUACUUUGAGGAAAUUAGAGUGUUUCAAGCAGGCACACGCCUUGAAUACAUUAGCAUGGAAUAAUAAGAUAGGACCUCGGUUCUAUUUUGUUGGUUUCUAGAGCUGAGGUAAUGAUUAAUAGGGAUAGUUGGGGGCAUUCGUAUUUAACUGUCAGAGGUGAAAUUCUUGGAUUUGUUAAAGACGGACUACCGCGAAAGCAUUUGCCAAGGAUGUUUUCAUUGA
Molecule: ribosomal RNA, 380 nt
Filed under: uncultured eukaryote
Lineage: Eukaryota
Description: partial 18S ribosomal RNA
Rfam family: Eukaryotic small subunit ribosomal RNA
Source: RNAcentral